CACGGGGGUUGCUAGCGUUGUCCGGAAUUACUAGGCGUAAAGGGCAUGUAGGCGGUUUUGUAAGCCUGACGUGAAAGGCUAUGGCUUAACCAUGGCACUGCGUUGGGAACUGCGAGACUUGAAUCACGGAGGGGGAGCUGGAAUUCCAGGUGUAGGGGUGAAAUCUGUAGAUAUCUGGAAGAACACCAGUGGCGAAGGCGAGCUCCUGGCCGAUGAUUGACGCUGAGGUGCGAAAGUGUGGGGAUCAAACAGGAUUAGAGACCCUGGUAGUCCACACUGUCAACGAUGUGCACUAGGUGCUGGGGCGGACGCUUCAGUGCCGGAGCUAACGCGGUAAGUGCACCGCCUGGGGAGUAUGCUCGCAAGGGUGAA
This 372-nucleotide ribosomal RNA is filed under the name uncultured bacterium. Its description in RNAcentral is "bacterial SSU rRNA". It matches the Rfam family "Bacterial small subunit ribosomal RNA", at positions 524 to 898 of the family's 1533-position model. The record is from RNAcentral.